AUGUUCAUGGACACUCCUGAUGAGGAUGUAUAUUUUAUUCACAAGAAGCCCAUUAAAGAAGAAACGUUCAAUGCUGUUGAUUCAGUCUUCGAAAAUACUUGCCACUCUCCAAACAAUUCUGUGAGCUACAUAGGCCAACCCUUGGAAUGUCCAUUCAGUCCUUCGCACAACAUCACUGUAGCAAGUGAUGGAGAUCUCACAGAAAUUUUGAACAAAACAAUGAUGGAACCGACCAAUCUCUCUGUUGCCAGGAAGUGUGGCUGUGUGUUCACUUUGAAGUCGGAUAGAAAAGUGCCUUUGUGGAUGUUCUGUGAUGCUGCAGACAAAGAGAAGACUUUCUUAUUGAGUAUCAGUUACAAAGAUGGAUGGUGCUCAAGAUCAUGGGCUCAUCUAAACAGCUGGAACUUCAAUGAUGGAGAUAUUGAUGAGCUCAUCACCAAACAUUUACAACAAUUUAAUCUCGGCAAAAGUAAGAGUCGACUGCGGGUAACAAGCACGUACAGUCCUGAUGAGGAUACUGUCAAUCCUGCAUUGCUAAAAAUUACAUGGACAACUCCAUCCAUUGACAUACCAUUCUCAGUGGCCAAACUAAUCUUGUAAGUCAUAAGAAUAACUCUAGAUUCCUUCCAUUUCAGGGUAUCUAGCGACCGGGAGAAGUGGGAAACGCCGAGGAAUUUUUUUUUUAAAAAUUGCUAGACACCCUGCAUUUUCUCCAAAUGAUAAGUUUAUCAAUCAGAUAGGACAAAUCCCACUUUGCAUCUUUUCAUUUUACAGCACUUCAUUGCAUGGAAUUUAGAGAGAAUGGAGCCAAAAACAGGGAUGUUCCAGAAAGUGAAAACUGGGAAAUGUCAGGGAAUUUGUUUUUUUCAAUAAAAAGUGAAAACCUGGAAAUGGGUGGGAUUUGUUAGCUUCGCCGCGGAAAGCUUUCAUUCUGAGUGCCUUUUCGUGUGGUCUCCAGAUGGGUUGUGUAGUGCUGGAACGACUGCUUGAUUUAGUAGUAGUUGCUUUGGUGUUGCAUGAUUCAAGACCCGGCCCCACCUAUAAGUAGUAAGUCUCUCUCGCCUCAUGCAGGAGUUAGAGCUUAUGAAACCAGAUCUCAGCGGUUCGCGCCCUACCAAGACGGACCGCGAGCAAUAUAUAAAAAUAUCAAAGCACAACCCGGAUUCCCUGCUACCAUCAAACCCCUAUCGCACUAAUGCACGCUUUUCACCAUCUAAAUUGCUAUCUGAACACAUCAAGCACAACCCAUUAAACUCCUAUCGUAACAAUGCACUCUCUUGCACCGUCUAAAUUUGCUACUACAUUAUUAUCUAUUUAUUUAUUUAUUUUUUUGUUUUUUGUUUAUAUAUAUAUUACUGCUUGCUGGUUUUGCUCGUUAGUUUCUUACUUGGGUUGUUGCAAAGCUCGCGGUCCAGCCUGCCACCCCUGUACUUUUUUUUUUUUUUUUUUUUUUUGCUUUUGCUUUCGCUCUUCUCUCUUCUCUCCUUUGCCAAGCUUGUAGUGACUAAUAGAUGUGCUUUCUUCUGUCCAGUAAGUUGUUGUACAGUGGUAGUGUUUGAAAGCUUAGGAGCUUCUGGAGUGUAGAAUAAGUUAAAAGUGGAUUUAAUGCCUUGGUACUAAAGUGUGUGUGUUUAGCAGAAAAGUGUCAGCAAUAAUGAAAAACUAGUAUCAGUGACCGCGGGAAGUGUGCAAAUCGGAGAAAUGCCUGGGGAUGGAAGUUUUCUUUUUCAGAGCAUUACAACAUCAUAGUUGGAAAUGGUUUGCCUAGAAAGAGUACCUGAAGGAGGCGUGACUCGUCUAAGACUGAUCAUUUGUGAGCAUCUGAUCAAGAAUGUGAGACAGCCGAGUGUUUUAUAUAACGUACUUGAGACAGCCAGUCAGGAUAGUGCAUUCAUGGAAAUGAUUUUUUUUUUUUUUUUUUUUUUUUUGUGCUCUUUUUUUCCCCUCUCUUCUCUCCUUUGCCAAGCUUGUAGUGACUAAUAGAUGCGCUUUCUUCUGUCAGUAGGUUGUUUGUAAAGUGGUAUUGUGUGAAAGCUUAGAAGCCUCUGGAGUGUAGAAUAAGUUAAAUGAGGAUUUACUGCCUUUCCACUAAACAAGAACUGAAAGGAAAGGAAAUUAUUCAGGCCUUUUGCCAAUUGUUUUUGUGCCAAGUUCAUAUAUCAAGCUACUACAUCAUAAAUGGAGACGGUUUGCCCAGAUAGAGUACCUAAAAGGCAUGAAUUGUCUAAGACUGAUCAUUUGUGAGCAUCUGAUCAAGAAUGUGAGACAGCCGAGUGUUUUAUAUAACGUACUUGAGACAGCCAGUCAGGAUAGUGUAUUCAUAGAAAUGAAUUUUUUUUUUUUUUUUUUUCUUCCCUUUUUUUGUGCUCUUUUUUUUUUCUUUUUCUCUCCUUUGCCAAGCUUGUAGUGACUAAUAGAUGCGCUUUCUUCUGUUAGUAAGUUGUUUGUACAGUGGUAGUGUAUGAAAGCUUAGAAGCUUCUGGAGUGUAGAAUAAGUUAAAUGAGGAUUUACUGCCUUUCCACUAAACAAGAACUGAAAGGAAAGGAAACCAUUCAGGCCUAUUGCCAAUUGUUUUUGUGCCAAGUUCAGAUAUUUAAUGAAAAAACGUGUAAUAGAGGUUGCUUGUGCAGUAUACCAAGAAUGUUUAAUCAUGUUAAGACAAUGAGACAUGAAUGCAUAGUAUCCAAGAAUGCAUCAAGCAUGCUACCAAUUGUGUAUAGUACAGGGUUUAUGGGGGGAUUGAUAAACUUUCCCUUUGAAUCUCCCAUGCAGAAGGAAACAGCAUUAGCGGUCCUCUGCUCCCAUCCAAUUUUCCUUAUCCUAGAUUUUGUCCCCUGUGUGUUUCAGGAAUAGUCCAACCGUUCGCUUUGAAAUAUAAGCAUAACGAGCUAUGGCCAACAGCUGGGGCGGUUGGACUUCUUAUUCUUAUUCUUAUUCUUAAAAAGUGAAAACCUGGAAAUGUCAGGAAAAAAUUGUUAAGUCAUUUUAUUUUCUUUUAGAAUGGGUUAGAAAUUUUGAACUUUAGAUUUUGCUAAAAAAAUAUUACAAAUCAUGUAUUUUAGUUUCUAACCAUCAGGCAUAUCUUCAAUUGUCCGGAAUUUAACCAGAAUAAGUCAUGAAAAUUCAUUCUAAAUUUGUGGCAAUCCUGUACAGAUUGCUCUCUUUUCUGCUUUUUCCGAAGCAACAGUCUGUAAUAAAUCAUCUCUUGUGAAACCUUUUCUUUGAGUCUCACAGCUAGUUCCCUAAAUAAAUAGCUGUUAUCAAUUCAGUUUUCUAGCUGUUCAUUUAAUGCGUUUUUCAUCCCCAAUUAAAUUUUGAUUUUGGAGAAAAGGAAAACCUGGGUUUCAAAAAGUCUUUUCAUAAUAACUUUAGGUACAUUUCACCGCUAUGAAGAAAAACAAACUGUCUCUAGUUCUUGAACUUUCUCAUGAUGUUCUCCUUUUGUGCCAAAACACUCUCCAAAAAUUGCAUGCUAAAAUAGCAGUCUUCUUUCAUGUGAAAGAUAAAAGUUACAAAGGAGUUGAUGGAUCAUCUCUCUGGAGCUACAGGGUGUUUUAUUUAUUUUUCAUUUUAUUUACUUCUGAGAUGAUUUCAAUUUACUGAUCUGUAUUUUUGUUCCUUUUAAUGUUUUUAGUUGAUUAACUUCAAAGUUGGUUUUAAUGGAAGUAUUAUUAAGCCGAUUUGGGAUCAAUUACAGCUUUUGCAAAAGUUUUGGAUGUAAUCCUCAUGAAGCAAGAAGUGAUCCUGAAAACCCUGGAUCAAGUAAGAGUCACUUCAUUGAAUUCAAUGACUCAGUAAGUAAAUUUAAUUAACCAACCCGUGUUAUUUAUUUAAAGCAUUCUACACCAGAGAAAAUUGUUGCCAUAUCAAAGUGCCACUUAGAACUUACUGAAAUCAAAGUGAAUCUCACUCGCAUGCAAAGUGCGUUAACUGCACUUCUUAGUUUAAACAUUUUAGAAUUUUCCUUUACAUUUUUACUCCUUCCUUUCUUUUACAUUUUUUUUUCAUUUUCUCCAGUUUUACGUGAAGAAAUGGUUGUAGAACGCAGACCAAGAAAUUUUUAAUCCCAACAAUUUAUGUUUGGGUGU
This 4089-nucleotide long non-coding RNA is filed under the name Bemisia tabaci. RNAcentral describes it as "lncRNA ENSSSA3NGG011797". The record is from RNAcentral. Lineage: Eukaryota; Metazoa; Arthropoda; Insecta; Hemiptera; Aleyrodidae.